CUUGUUUCAGGUCGUCUAAAUCUGGAGUUCUAGACUGUAUGAUCUACUGGGUUGCCUGCGCUGGUCGUCGAAGCCUACCGAGGUGGUGCCCCACUGUUGCCAGUGUCUCCCUACACCCCUCCUCCACACCACAAGGACGACUGAGAUAUCAGGUUGUUGUUGUUGCUCUUCUACUACAUCUUCAGGUUCAGAAAAGGCAACAACAACGUUUCGCUGUGCGGUGUAGGCUGCGGCGGCAGGACCAUUUUCCUCUUGAAAUUGUUUUAAUUUAUGCAUUUCUCCUACUGCCAACAGAGGAGAAGAAAGGCCAGCACCGAGCUACUGCUUGUUUUUGCUUGCACAGCCAAUUUGUUCGUUGCUAGGAAGAAGACAAAGAGAGAAAAUUAUGGAGUUAAAGAGAUAAAAGAGUAGAGUGCCUACGUGGUGUGGAUAUGAAACGUGUGGUGUGUGAGAGGAUAAGGGAUACUAUUCAGUGAUAAAAAUAACUUGUGGUUCAGAGAAAAAGCAACGUUCUAUUUACCUAGUGCUCACGAUCAGCUAUAAAGCUUGAAUUUUUUUAACUCUGAUUCACACUACAACUUUAUAAAAGAAUUUGAAAUUAUUUGCUCUAAUAUUUUCAAUACCUACAGUUCAAAAAUAAGAAUAGUUUUCAAGAUAUGAAAUACUGGACAACAAAGAAGAAA
RNAcentral lists this long non-coding RNA (683 nucleotides) under Triticum aestivum (bread wheat). RNAcentral's name for it is "long non-coding RNA (TAES_LNC013053)". The record is from RNAcentral. Lineage: Eukaryota; Viridiplantae; Streptophyta; Magnoliopsida; Poales; Poaceae.